CCCCCCUUAACUCAGCCCGGUAGAGUGCUCGGCUGUAGACCGAGAUGUCGCUGGAUCAAAGCCGGCAGGGGGGACCA
This 77-nucleotide transfer RNA is filed under the name Promethearchaeota archaeon. Its description in RNAcentral is "Candidatus Lokiarchaeota archaeon (permafrost metagenome) tRNA-Tyr". It matches the Rfam family "tRNA". From Rfam's summary of the family: Transfer RNA (tRNA) molecules are approximately 80 nucleotides in length. Lineage: Archaea; Promethearchaeati; Promethearchaeota. The record is from RNAcentral.